GGGUUGUGAGGUUAAGCGACUAAGCGUACACGGUGGAUGCCCUGGCAGUCAGAGGCGAUGAAGGACGUGCUAAUCUGCGAUAAGCGUCGGUGAGGUGAUAUGAACCGUUAUAACCGGCGAUUUCCGAAUGGGGAAACCCAGUGUGUUUCGACACACUAUCAUUAACUGAAUCCAUAGGUUAAUGAGGCGAACCGGGGGAACUGAAACAUCUAAGUACCCCGAGGAAAAGAAAUCAACCGAGAUUCCCCCAGUAGCGGCGAGCGAACGGGGAGGAGCCCAGAGCCUGAAUCAGUGUGUGUGUUAGUGGAAGCGUCUGGAAAGGCGCGCGAUACAGGGUGACAGCCCCGUACACAAAAAUGCACAUAUUGUGAGCUCGAUGAGUAGGGCGGGACACGUGGUAUCCUGUCUGAAUAUGGGGGGACCAUCCUCCAAGGCUAAAUACUCCUGACUGACCGAUAGUGAACCAGUACCGUGAGGGAAAGGCGAAAAGAACCCCGGCGAGGGGAGUGAAAAAGAACCUGAAACCGUGUACGUACAAGCAGUGGGAGCCUCUUAAUGGGGUGACUGCGUACCUUUUGUAUAAUGGGUCAGCGACUUAUAUUCUGUAGCAAGGUUAACCGAAUAGGGGAGCCGAAGGGAAACCGAGUCUUAACUGGGCGUUAAGUUGCAGGGUAUAGACCCGAAACCCGGUGAUCUAGCCAUGGGCAGGUUGAAGGUUGGGUAACACUAACUGGAGGACCGAACCGACUAAUGUUGAAAAAUUAGCGGAUGACUUGUGGCUGGGGGUGAAAGGCCAAUCAAACCGGGAGAUAGCUGGUUCUCCCCGAAAGCUAUUUAGGUAGCGCCUCGUGAAUUCAUCUCCGGGGGUAGAGCACUGUUUCGGCAAGGGGGUCAUCCCGACUUACCAACCCGAUGCAAACUGCGAAUACCGGAGAAUGUUAUCACGGGAGACACACGGCGGGUGCUAACGUCCGUCGUGAAGAGGGAAACAACCCAGACCGCCAGCUAAGGUCCCAAAGUCAUGGUUAAGUGGGAAACGAUGUGGGAAGGCCCAGACAGCCAGGAUGUUGGCUUAGAAGCAGCCAUCAUUUAAAGAAAGCGUAAUAGCUCACUGGUCGAGUCGGCCUGCGCGGAAGAUGUAACGGGGCUAAACCAUGCACCGAAGCUGCGGCAGCGACACUAUGUGUUGUUGGGUAGGGGAGCGUUCUGUAAGCCUGUGAAGGUGGCCUGUGAGGGUUGCUGGAGGUAUCAGAAGUGCGAAUGCUGACAUAAGUAACGAUAAAGCGGGUGAAAAGCCCGCUCGCCGGAAGACCAAGGGUUCCUGUCCAACGUUAAUCGGGGCAGGGUGAGUCGACCCCUAAGGCGAGGCCGAAAGGCGUAGUCGAUGGGAAACAGGUUAAUAUUCCUGUACUUGGUGUUACUGCGAAGGGGGGACGGAGAAGGCUAUGUUGGCCGGGCGACGGUUGUCCCGGUUUAAGCGUGUAGGCUGGUUUUCCAGGCAAAUCCGGAAAAUCAAGGCUGAGGCGUGAUGACGAGGCACUACGGUGCUGAAGCGACAAAUGCCCUGCUUCCAGGAAAAGCCUCUAAGCAUCAGGUAACAUCAAAUCGUACCCCAAACCGACACAGGUGGUCAGGUAGAGAAUACCAAGGCGCUUGAGAGAACUCGGGUGAAGGAACUAGGCAAAAUGGUGCCGUAACUUCGGGAGAAGGCACGCUGAUAUGUAGGUGAAGCGACUUGCUCGUGGAGCUGAAAUCAGUCGAAGAUACCAGCUGGCUGCAACUGUUUAUUAAAAACACAGCACUGUGCAAACACGAAAGUGGACGUAUACGGUGUGACGCCUGCCCGGUGCCGGAAGGUUAAUUGAUGGGGUUAGCGGUAACGCGAAGCUCUUGAUCGAAGCCCCGGUAAACGGCGGCCGUAACUAUAACGGUCCUAAGGUAGCGAAAUUCCUUGUCGGGUAAGUUCCGACCUGCACGAAUGGCGUAAUGAUGGCCAGGCUGUCUCCACCCGAGACUCAGUGAAAUUGAACUCGCUGUGAAGAUGCAGUGUACCCGCGGCAAGACGGAAAGACCCCGUGAACCUUUACUAUAGCUUGACACUGAACAUUGAGCCUUGAUGUGUAG
This 2124-nucleotide ribosomal RNA is filed under the name Escherichia coli. RNAcentral describes it as "partial 23S ribosomal RNA". It matches the Rfam family "Bacterial large subunit ribosomal RNA", at positions 1 to 2141 of the family's 2925-position model. Lineage: Bacteria; Pseudomonadati; Pseudomonadota; Gammaproteobacteria; Enterobacterales; Enterobacteriaceae. The record is from RNAcentral.